This 233-nucleotide long non-coding RNA is filed under the name Gossypium barbadense (sea-island cotton). RNAcentral describes it as "long non-coding RNA (GBAR_LNC003493)". Lineage: Eukaryota; Viridiplantae; Streptophyta; Magnoliopsida; Malvales; Malvaceae. The record is from RNAcentral.
CAGACCUAACAUUUCGGCUUACAGGGGCGAUGAUGUUGGUCUUAAAGGACAGAAAAAAUCAUUCGCUAACGAUUUUGAUCCACAGAAAGCGAAACAGAAGUACCAUUGGCUUAGACCCACAUCUUCCAAUAAUUUUGCAUGUAAAUAAUCUGAAGUGAUUAGUGCCAUCACGAUCCUACCAUGUCAAUCAAUGAUUGGCUGGAAGAAUAAAAAAAUAAUUUUUUUUAGAUGAU